GUGGGGAAUAUUGGACAAUGGGCGCAAGCCUGAUCCAGCCAUGCCGCGUGUGUGAAGAAGGCCUUUUGGUUGUAAAGCACUUUAAGCGAGGAGGAGGCUCCUUUAGUUAAUACCUAAAGAGAGUGGACGUUACUCGCAGAAUAAGCACCGGCUAACUCUGUGCCAGCAGCCGCGGUAAUACAGAGGGUGCGAGCGUUAAUCGGAUUUACUGGGCGUAAAGCGUGCGUAGGCGGCUUUUUAAGUCGGAUGUGAAAUCCCUGAGCUUAACUUAGGAAUUGCAUUCGAUACUGGAAAGCUAGAGUAUGGGAGAGGAUGGUAGAAUUCCAGGUGUAGCGGUGAAAUGCGUAGAGAUCUGGAGGAAUACCGAUGGCGAAGGCAGCCAUCUGGCCUAAUACUGACGCUGAGGUACGAAAGCAUGGGGAGCAAACAGGAUUAGAUACCCUUGUAGUCC
Molecule: ribosomal RNA, 451 nt
Filed under: uncultured bacterium
Lineage: Bacteria
Description: partial 16S ribosomal RNA
Rfam family: Bacterial small subunit ribosomal RNA
Source: RNAcentral